Molecule: long non-coding RNA, 204 nt
Filed under: Mytilus galloprovincialis (Mediterranean mussel)
Lineage: Eukaryota; Metazoa; Mollusca; Bivalvia; Mytilida; Mytilidae
Source: RNAcentral
CCGCCAAUAAUAUUUAGGAAGGAUCUAUGAGUUUUAAUGACUGCGAAAAGUAAACACAUAUAUCAUCCCUUCCAGAUAGUUAUAAAAAGAACCAGGAUUAUAAUUUAGGACGCCAGACGCGCGUCUCGUCUACAUAAGACUCAUCAGUGACGAUUAUACCAAAAUAUUUAUAAAGCCAACCAAGUACAAAGUUAAAGAGCAUUG